UGGGGAAUUUUGGACAAUGGGCGAAAGCCUGAUCCAGCAAUGCCGCGUGUGUGAAGAAGGCCUUCGGGUUGUAAAGCACUUUUGUCCGGAAAGAAAUCCUUGGCUCUAAUACAGUCGGGGGAUGACGGUACCGGAAGAAUAAGCACCGGCUAACUACGUGCCAGCAGCCGCGGUAAUACGUAGGGUGCAAGCGUUAAUCGGAAUUACUGGGCGUAAAGCGUGCGCAGGCGGUUUGCUAAGACCGAUGUGAAAUCCCCGGGCUCAACCUGGGAACUGCAUUGGUGACUGGCAGGCUAGAGUAUGGCAGAGGGGGGUAGAAUUCCACGUGUAGCAGUGAAAUGCGUAGAGAUGUGGAGGAAUACCGAUGGCGAAGGCAGCCCCCUGGGCCAAUACUGACGCUCAUGCACGAAAGCGUGGGGAGCAAAACAGGAUUAGAUACCCCUGGUAGUCCACGCCCUAAACGAUGUCAACUAGUUGUUGGGGACUUCAUUUCCUUAGUAACGUAGCUAACGCGUGAAGUUGACCGCCU
Molecule: ribosomal RNA, 529 nt
Filed under: uncultured bacterium
Lineage: Bacteria
Description: partial 16S ribosomal RNA
Rfam family: Bacterial small subunit ribosomal RNA
Source: RNAcentral